CUGGACUCGAUUUUGGAGGAAGGAAGUUCAGGGUCGGGUAUAUUCCAGGGGCUGGGUUUGGGUGACGAGUUGCAGGAGGGUUUGGGAGAGGAGGAAGUUGGCAGAACUAGGUCGCAGCCAGAAGGUGUGCCAGGUAGUCUGCUCUCAGCUUAUGAGAUGGUAAAAAAGAACGGUCAGGUUACUCCAGAGGUGGCGGUUUGUGCUGCUGUUCCGGCAGUGUAUACAGGUUCAUCCGUGUCAUAUCGUAGCAAGAGGAGGGCUGCAACUUCAGCGGGAGACAGUUUGGAGAGGGCUUCCAGGUUGAAGGCGUCUCACAACCUCGACUCCGAUUCAUGGAAGGCGAGGUCUAGGGCCUUAGAUAAGGAGGAGCGAGAGAGAGUAGAUGAGGCGGAACUGAAUAACUUUAUCUUGGGUGUUCUUUUUGAGGAUAAUACAGAUGAGGUGAUGGACAUGGAAAGUGAACAUAUAGCAAUGUCUCGUACUGACAUGUCCGAAGUCACAAAGGGUUCCAUGAGGAGAAUUAAGUCAAAUUCUUUUGAGUCUAAAUGA
Molecule: unclassified non-coding RNA, 549 nt
Filed under: Zea mays
Lineage: Eukaryota; Viridiplantae; Streptophyta; Magnoliopsida; Poales; Poaceae
Description: misc RNA Zm00001eb006500
Source: RNAcentral